UUGACACCCAAUUCAAGUCUUCAUACAUGUAUUUUAUAGAAUGAUGACCAUCACAUUCCACCAUCCUUGCUAAUCCCCUUCUCCCUCCCUUUCCCUCCCACCCCUCUUCCCUAUCUAGAAUUACUCUAAUCCUCCCAUGCUCUCCCUCCCUACCUCACUAUGAGCACCCCCUUUAUAUCAGAGAAAACAUUCCACAUUUCUUUUUUGGGAUUGGCUGACUUCGCUUUGCAUUAUCUUCUCCAACCCCAUCCAUUUGCAGGUAAAUGGAGAUCUAUCUUCUUAACACAUGUUAAAGUGCACAAAACCAUAUUGUUAAUGAUAGGUAUUAAGAUAUAGAACAGAUUUUUAGUACUUAUUCAUUUUGUAACUGAAACUUUAUACCAACUGAGAAACAGAAGGAGGAUUCUGGAGAUGAUGAAUAUGUUUGGUACUUUGAUGUGGGGAUGGAAUCAUGGGUGUAUGCAUAUGUCAAAACUCAUCAAAAUAUAUACAUUAAAUAUGUGCGAUGUUCAUACAUCAAUUACAGUUAAAUAAAGCUUAAAAAUUGAUCUAAUAUGUACAUGAGAAUGGUUGGACUGCACUCAGUUCUCAAGUACUUUAGGGAAUUUAUCUGUAUUAAUACUUAUUUCAUACAAAGUAAUGUGAAAAGCUCCUUUGAAGUUACGUAUCUUCCUUCAGAUACUACUUGAUUUUUCCAUCACACACAAAAAAUUCUCAAUAGAAACUGAUUUUUUCCCCUUCCUUAUUUUCCAGUAUCCCUUCAACUCACUCCUGUUAGGCUUUUUCCCCCACAAUUGCAUCAAAACUUACUUUUAUCAAGGUUCCCACAAUACUGUCAUACAAUAAUCUAUUCAUAGUCCUCACCUUAUACAAACUCGGCAGUAUAUACUAGAAUUGAUCACUCCCUCCAAUUCAAAACAACAUAUUCUCUUCACUUCUGUGACACCCAUAUUCCUGGAGUUCCUUCCACUUCACUGGCCACUGUUCCUCUCUUAUUGACUCUUCUCCUACCCAAUCUGAAAAUGUUGAAGUUCUUUCAGUUUCAGAGUCAUAUCUUUUUAUCUUCCCUAGUUAAUAUUUCUCGGAUGACCUCAUCAAUUAGCAUGGCCAUGAAUGUCAUUUAUAUAGUGAUGAUCUUCAAAAUUACAUCUCCAGCCCUGGAUUCUCUCCAAGCUCCACAUUCAUAUAUCUAAAUAUAUCUUUUAUUUCUCCAUUUGAAUAUCAAAUAGAUAUUUUAACUUAUAACACAAACUGAACUGUUGAUUCAAAUUCCAGCCUCAAUCCUUGAACUUAUGUUUCCCAGUUUCCCCAAUAUAAUAAAUUGCAUCACUAUCCCACUCAGUUAAAUAAGUGAGAAACCUGAGUCAUCCUUAAUUCCCUCUUUUCCUUCACCCCACCAUAUCUAAUCCAUUAACAAGUACUGUCCAUUCUUUCUCCAAAUUAUUAUUUUUAUUUUUCAUUUGUUCUUGUUAGCUAUACAUGACUAUAGAGUGUGUUUUGACAUAUUAAACAUGCAUGGGGUAUAACUUAUUCUAAUUAGGAUCCCAUUCUUGUGGUUUUACAUGAUGUGUAGGCUCACUGGUCAUUUAUUCGUAUAUGAACAGAGGAAAAGUUUCUUGUAGGGACUACUGUAAUGUAUAGUAACCCACUAACCCACUGAUUUUCCUGCCUUCAAUAGUAAUGCAUUCUCUGCAUAGCAGCCAGAGUGAUCAUUUUUAAAUAUAAAGAAGAUUAUGGCAUUACCCUGUUAAAAAUCUUCUAACAGCUUCCCGUUGUGCUUUUUUUUUUUUUUUUGUACUGGGGAUUAAACCCAGGGGCACUCAACCAGUGAGCCACAUCCCCAGCCCUUUUCUUUAUUUCAUUUAGAGACAGUUGCUUACGGCCUCGCUAAAUUGCUGAGGCUGACUUUGAAAUCUCAAAGUAAUAUAAUGUGCCACUGCACCUGGCCCCUAUUGUGCUUUUGAAUAACAUUCUAACACCAUGUUCCAGAGACAGGCUCCACAUUAUCUAGUUUCUGAGUACCUCUCUAACCUCAUUUUCUACUUAACCUCUUGAUCUCUAUGAUUCAGAU
RNAcentral lists this long non-coding RNA (2071 nucleotides) under Marmota monax (woodchuck). Lineage: Eukaryota; Metazoa; Chordata; Mammalia; Rodentia; Sciuridae. The record is from RNAcentral.